CCGCAGGCACGCACGCACUAAACACGCCUCAUCGGUGACGUUCUCGUCUCUCUCCCUCUCUCUCUCUCUCGACAUCCCCAGGCUGCGUGAAUUCGUGAUUUGUUUGGCCCUCUUGCGCUCAGUCAGUGGUGUGUUUGCCUCCUCCUCGUAGCUGCGCCGAUUCGAGUAACCUGCACCUCCUCGCGGACACUCUACCUACUUUGACGCGAUGCCCACCUCAGCGGUAGCAAGGAUGCGCGCCCGCAGCCGCCAGAGCCAGCAGCGUCUGACCGAGGACGAGAAGCUGAGGCGCCGCGAGGAGCGGGAGAACAAGAAGUCGGCCGUCCCACAGUGGCUCGUCUGGAGCAUGAUCGUCAUCGUUGUCGGAUCGUCGCUUGUGAACAUAUACUUCUCUGUGGCGCAAUCACCCAAAAUGAAGGACUAGGCUGCUGGCGCUUCCGAGUACCUGCGUCCUCGCUGCUCCGCUUCGUCUCCUGUGUUGUCUGUGGCUGUACAUGGAUUUGUGCCCGUAUGCUUGGUUUGCUUUCACGUUUGCGGCAAUCGGCUAUGGAUGCGACGGACGCGCCUUUGUGGCAGUGCCGAUACAGCGAUGGUGAGUCCUACUGUUGCUGCGCUACACGUCCCGCCACCUGCUCUGCUGGUGCCCACUCGGCGUUGCGGGAUACGUGAACGCGUGUGUCACCGAGAUCGUGGCACAGCGCGUACCACGAUUGCGGAUUAGUAAUUCAUUCUCUUCUCAUUGCUCGGACACAACCGCUGAGUUUGGACGCAUAGGUCUGCGAGAUGAGAGCGUCUUGCUUUUCGUGCUGCUCCUUGCGACGGCGGCCGGGCGCCUCAUGAGCAUGCCGUUCAACGAACUUUUUUUUUCUCGCGCUCCCCGCACGCCUUGAUGACGGCGGGCCGAUGAGGAGGGGGUGAGGUGGUGACCAGCUCAGCGCGUGGCUUCACCCGGCCCAAGUACCCUCCACCAUCUCUGCGUGGGAGGAAGCCAAGCAAGCCGCCCCGCAUUUCUCCCUGCGAAGUGCGCAACCACCGGUGGUGGUGGCAGGGCCAAGCACGCGCGACGUGGGGCGUGGAGGGCGAUGCAUGGCUGCUGAUGUCGGUGCGCCGGCCCGGGGUGACGCGGCGCCGGAGCGACCUGCGACAGUGAACACGUGUGCACCAUCCACAUGAUGGGCAGAGUGUCCGCGUGGCUGGAAGGCAUCCCACCCCCGGCCCUCGCGCAGCCUGCUGGUAUGCGGGUGUGGGUGGAGUUUGAGGCGUAGGCCGUGCUCUCGGAUGGCUUGGUCGGCGCGUUUGGCGUGGCGCGUGUGUGCUGCUGCACCGCACCAGGUAAUGUGGAGGGGGGAGGGGGGCUCUGACCGGCCGUGCGGGAAAUGCGGAGUAGAAGACGUGCCGUACGGGAGAAUGUGGGCACCUUGAGAGCAAGAAGCAGGAGGCCGCCCCGAAAUCCCCUGCGCUACACUUGGUAGUGAGCUGGGCUUUUUGUUUCUCACUACCUUGUCUACGCGUGCAGCAGAACUGGAGAAAGCGACUAUGCCGAGUGAUGUCGAAGAGCUUUCGACGAGCAGGGCUCUGACGGAGGCAGUGCAAAAAAAGAGGGGCGUAUGUGGACAACGAUGGGCGCGUCUGCGGUGGUUUCUCUCUAGAUGGGUGUUUGCUCUGCUCUCUCUUUGUAUCUUCGCGCAUCACGCGUUGCACGCUGUCGAUAGUGUCGCUUCAUCCCCCGUUCCACAUCCCGCGCUGCACGUUGGGCCGCCUACGUCCCCUUCAGCGGCAUGGGGGAUGUGAGCGCAGUAGCUCUGCGCGCCCCAUCUGUUGCUCCAGAGACCUUUGGUGCGUUCUGGAAGCGAAAGCAAAGAAACAUGAGGAAACGGUAGAGUGUAGCAUACGCCUUGAUGUGCAUGCCAGCCAACGGAUCUACGCGUUUUGAAGCCGCGACUUCCUCUCUUC
Molecule: unclassified non-coding RNA, 1953 nt
Filed under: Leishmania donovani
Lineage: Eukaryota; Euglenozoa; Kinetoplastea; Trypanosomatida; Trypanosomatidae
Description: gene:LdHU3.25.0150(CDS-product:hypothetical_prote in_conserved)
Source: RNAcentral